AGCAGCCGCGGUAAUUCCAGCUCCAAUAGCGUAUAUUAAAGUUGCUGCAGUUAAAAAGCUCGUAGUUGAAUUUCGGGACCAAUAUGUCGGUCGUGCCUCGGUACGUACUGGCAUCAUUGGUUUCUCCUUUCUGAAGAACCAUGAUGUCAUUUAUUUGGUGUCGUGGGGAAUCAGGACUGUUACUUUGAAAAAAUUAGAGUGUUUAAAGCAGGCUCACGCUUGAAUACAUUAGCAUGGAAUAAUGAAAUAGGACGUUUGAUUCUAUUUUGUUGGUUUCUAGGAUCGACGUAAUGAUUAAUAGGGAUAGUUGGGGGCAUUAGUAUUCAAUUGUCAGAGGUGAAAUUCUUGGAUUUAUUGAAGACUAACUACUGCGAAAGCAUUUGCCAAGGAUGUUUUCAUUAAUCAAGAACGAAAGUUAGGGGAUCGAAGACGAUCAGAUACCGUCGUAGU
RNAcentral lists this ribosomal RNA (450 nucleotides) under uncultured Glomeromycotina. Its description in RNAcentral is "SSU rRNA". It matches the Rfam family "Eukaryotic small subunit ribosomal RNA", at positions 569 to 1024 of the family's 1831-position model. The record is from RNAcentral. Lineage: Eukaryota; Fungi; Glomeromycota.